RNAcentral lists this ribosomal RNA (440 nucleotides) under uncultured bacterium. RNAcentral's name for it is "bacterial SSU rRNA". It matches the Rfam family "Bacterial small subunit ribosomal RNA", at positions 954 to 1392 of the family's 1533-position model. The record is from RNAcentral.
GCUAAACGCGAAGAACCUUACCUGGCCUUGACAUGUCUGGAAUCCCGAAGAGAUUUGGGAGUGCCGCAAGGAACCAGAACACAGGUGCUGCAUGGCUGUCGUCAGCUCGUGUCGUGAGAUGUUGGGUUAAGUCCCGCAACGAGCGCAACCCUUGUCCUUAGUUGCCAGCGAGUAAUGUCGGGAACUCUAAGGAGACUGCCGGUGACAAACCGGAGGAAGGUGGGGAUGACGUCAAGUCCUCAUGGCCCUUACGGCCAGGGCUACACACGUACUACAAUGGUCGGUACAGAGGGUUGCCAAACCGCAAGGUGGAGCCAAUCCCAGAAAGCCGAUCCCAGUCCGGAUCGGAGUCUGCAACUCGACUCCGUGAAGUCGGAAUCGCUAGUAAUCGCGGAUCAGCUAUGCCGCGGUGAAUACGUUCCCGGGUCUUGUACACACCG